CGGAGAGUUUGAUCCUGGCUCAGGACGAACGCUGGCGGCAUGCCUAAUACAUGCAAGUCGAACGAACUUUCCCGAUGAUUGAAGCUUGCUUCAUGAAUCGGAUCUAAGUGAGUGGCGGACGGGUGAGUAACACGUGGGUAACCUGCCCAAAAGUGGGGGAUAACAUUUGGAAACAAGUGCUAAUACCGCAUAACAACUACUUUCACAUGAUCGUAGUUUAAAAGAUGGCUCUGCUAUCGCUUUUGGAUGGACUCGCGGCGUAUUAGCUAGUUGGUGAGGUAAAGGCUCACCAAGGCAAUGAUACGUAGCCGACCUGAGAGGGUAAUCGGCCACAUUGGGACUGAGACACGGCCCAAACUCCUACGGGAGGCAGCAGUAGGGAAUCUUCCACAAUGGGCGAAAGCCUGAUGGAGCAAUGCCGCGUGAGUGAAGAAGGUUUUCGGAUCGUAAAACUCUGUUGUUGAAGAAGAACAUGCGUGAGAGUAACUGUUCACGUACUGACGGUAUUCAACCAGAAAGCCACGGCUAACUACGUGCCAGCAGCCGCGGUAAUACGUAGGUGGCAAGCGUUGUCCGGAUUUAUUGGGCGUAAAGAGAAUGUAGGCGGUUUAUUAAGUUUGAAGUGAAAGCCCUCGGCUCAACCGAGGAAGUGCUUCGAAAACUGGUAAACUUGAGUGCAGAGGAGGAAAGUGGAACUCCAUGUGUAGCGGUGGAAUGCGUAGAUAUAUGGAAGAACACCAGUGGCGAAGGCGGCUUUCUGGUCUGUAACUGACGCUGAGAUUCGAAAGCAUGGGUAGCAAACAGGAUUAGAUACCCUGGUAGUCCAUGCCGUAAACGAUGAGUGCUAAGUGUUGGAGG
RNAcentral lists this ribosomal RNA (858 nucleotides) under uncultured bacterium. RNAcentral's name for it is "bacterial SSU rRNA". It matches the Rfam family "Bacterial small subunit ribosomal RNA", at positions 1 to 829 of the family's 1533-position model. The record is from RNAcentral.